UAUGGAACCAGUACAGGGUCUCCAGGCACAUGGGACCUGAGGGGCAUCUCCCAGAACGUGCCAGCACACCCGAUCUACCUGUUCAGUAGGUGCAGCACCCCAGUUGGCACCUUCCGGUCCUGCCCCCGGAACCAGCACCUAAGGUUCUGUAGAUCUGCAAGUCCAAGCUCCAGGCUAGGAGGCCACUGUCUGAGCUCGUUUGCUGCUGCCCCAAGGAGGCUGAGACUCUGCAGGAGCUGGUCCUUCCGGAAAUCCAUACAAAUAGCACCCAGUGUUGGAACGAGCUUGCCCCGUGAACUUCCAUACAUCGCCAACUAAGCUCUGGGGCCGUGGUCCCUUAAACCACCUGCUUCUUCCUCCUUCUCAAGCUGUCCCUGCAACUUUGACUUGACAUGAUGGCAGGCUGACUGUGCCCACGGUCCCUCCACCUGCCUGCCUGCCUUGUCAUGAACUUAUCUUUGCUUUCUCUUCAGCUUUAUUCAGAUAUCAUUGACAAAGAAAGUCAAAU
Odocoileus virginianus texanus is the source of this 508-nucleotide non-coding RNA. NCBI's taxonomy places the organism in Eukaryota, Metazoa, Chordata, Mammalia, Artiodactyla, Cervidae. The record is from RefSeq and is a predicted model, not a curated record.